UAGGGAAUCUUCCACAAUGGACGCAAGUCUGAUGGAGCAACGCCGCGUGAGUGAAGAAGGUUUUCGGACCGUAAAGCUCUGUUGUUGGUGAAGAAGGAUAGAGGUAGUAACUGGCCUUUAUUUGACGGUAAUCAACCAGAAAGUCACGGCUAACUACGUGCCAGCAGCCGCGGUAAUACGUAGGUGGCAAGCGCUGUCCGGAUUUAUUGGGCGUAAAGCGAGCGCAGGCGGAAGAAUAAGUCUGAUGUGAAAGCCCUCGGCUUAACCGAGGAAUUGCAUCGGAAACUGUUUUCUUGAGUGCAGAAGAGGAGAGUAGAACUCCAUGUGUAGCGGUGGAAUGCGUAGAUAUAUGGAAGAAUACCAGUGGCGAAGGCGGCUCUCUGGUCUGCAACUGACGCUGAGGCUCGAAAGCAUGGGUAGCGAACAGGAUUAGAUACCCUGGUAGUCCAUGCCGUAAACGAUGAGUGCUAAGUGUUGGGAGGCUUCCGCCUCUCAGUGCUGCAGCUAACGCAUUAAGCACUCCGCCUGGGGGAGUACGACCGCAAGGUUGAAAC
RNAcentral lists this ribosomal RNA (554 nucleotides) under uncultured bacterium. RNAcentral's name for it is "partial 16S ribosomal RNA". It matches the Rfam family "Bacterial small subunit ribosomal RNA", at positions 355 to 900 of the family's 1533-position model. The record is from RNAcentral.